Molecule: ribosomal RNA, 247 nt
Filed under: uncultured bacterium
Lineage: Bacteria
Description: partial 16S ribosomal RNA
Rfam family: Bacterial small subunit ribosomal RNA
Source: RNAcentral
UACGUAGGGGGCAAGCGUUGUCCGGAUUUAUUGGGCGUAAAGAGCGUGUAGGCGGCCUGACAGGUCUGCUGUGAAAACUCGAGGCUCAACCUCGAGAUGUCGGCGGAAACCGUCUGGCUAGAGUCCGGAAGAGGAGAGUGGAAUUCCUGGUGUAGCGGUGAAAUGCGCAGAUAUCAGGAAGAACACCUAUGGCGAAGGCAGCUCUCUGGACGUACUGACGCUGAGACGACGAAGCGUGGAGCAACAG